GCUGGUUCCUUUUCUACAGAGUUGUCAAUAGAGAAUAGAGGACCAAAUGUCUGGGGAUGUUUAUAAAAGAGGAUUCUUUUUCAGGUAUGAAUUAGACUAGAUGUUUUCUGAGGUCCAUUCUCAUUCUGUGACUCUGUGAUCUUGGUUCUGCAGUGUUGAGAGAAGCAGGCUGAAUCAAAUUUAUGCCCCAUCCAAAUUGUGAAGGGCUCAUCUUCUGAAACUAAGGGCAUGUGUAUAGUUCCAGAAAAGAACUUCUUAUAUCUAUUGUAUUUUUCACACUGGGUUAUAAUAGGAUUUACCUGUAGGAAUUUGAAUUGUAUCUCUUGUGAUCCUGGCUGGUGGUUUGGUGAUCUCAUUGCUUCUGAAGUAUAUUGUAAUUAGAGGAUUAAACCAUCACACAUUUAGGGGCCAUUAAGAAUUUGGAGCAACCAACCACUCAAACGGUUUCUUAUUCUAACAAAAGAGACUCAGGGUGAUAUAUUCAAGACUGAGCAAUCUAAUCCUUCCACUGAUGCUCCUACAUGUCCAGCAAUAGCAUUUACACUUCCAAAAUGGUGCUGAAAGACAUAAAAGAAACUUAAUGAAAAUGUCCUUCAGAAUGCAUGAAGUGAAAUAUUCAGAGCACUCCACUUGUGAAUCUAUGCUCGUCAUCUCACAGUAUCUGCCAAACUAUUUCAAAGACCUGGUCAGAGUUUCAGAACUAGUAACACUACCUGAAAAUGAAUGUUGGAGCCAGAUAAGAAACUAUAGGCUGCUUUCAAGAAGGUUACAAGAAAACUGCAUCUUGCAUUACUAAUCCUUUAUCUUCAUGUUAACAAAAAGAUUACUGACACAUUUUUGAAUGAAAGAAAAUAAAACAGCAAAUGCAUCUUAGAAAAUGUUUAAC
Molecule: long non-coding RNA, 886 nt
Filed under: Phascolarctos cinereus (koala)
Lineage: Eukaryota; Metazoa; Chordata; Mammalia; Diprotodontia; Phascolarctidae
Description: lncRNA (ENSPCIG00000030495.2)
Source: RNAcentral